GGGGAAACCGAGAGGAGGAUAAUACCCGUGUGCACGGCGAGGAACGUGAGAGAUACACGGGUGUAACGCGGUUGUGGGAGGAACGAUGGAAGGAAAGAAACAACGGGGCCGACGACAGCCCGCGUCGUGACGUCGAAGGUCGAAAUCGAGGAAUAAUAAUUGUCUCCUCUCUCGGAUCGGAUCAGAUAAACGAAACGCACAAAUAUAAAUCAAUCAGCGGCGGCCUCUCCUAUAGGACGUGCUACACGCCCGCGUAGGUAGGUAGGUAGAUAGGUAUGCGCGAAUAUGUACAUGUAAGUCGCACACCCUCGCUCUACCCAGAUCACAAUGCAAACCGCUCUUUCGGUUCCGCUUUUCUUUUUUUUUUUUUUUUGUCUCUCCGACGGAAUUCCGAUAACCGGAUGUCUGUCUGAUCCUGAUCCUGAUCCGACCCCCACCCCUCUGCCUACCUGCACUGGCCGAAAAUGACGUCCAAGGAAUUACUCGAUGAAUGGUGUCCGCGGACGUCGGAAUUCGCCGGGCCGUUUUCAAAUGGGAUUCGUCGGGGUGGCGCACGUUGCACCUGGUCAUUCGAAUUCAGAGGACGUUGGUAACGACUACGAGAGGCUCUCUGAAACGAAAAUCGAGAGUCAAUAAUUAUCGACACCUGGAGACGAGGCUGUGGAUCCACCGGAAGAAGAGCAACGGAAAACGAAAAACGUAAAACGAAACGGAACGCAAGGAAAGAAGAGGAGUACAAAAAUGAGGAUAACGCGAGUCGAACCAGGGGUAUCCCGAUCGCGCAACAAGUCCGGCGAAAGUAGAUCUAACAGAGGCGGGUGUACGGCGUAGCUGAUAAGCCGAGGAAAUAGGAGAUGGAUAAUUCUCGCCUGUUUGGUCGACGUUUGAUUCCGUUAUAAGAGGAGGCCGAGCACCGCGUCCGAGUUACAUUCGAUUCGCCGUGCGUGACAUACGCGUCGUCGAUAACCGGCGAACGUUUGCCGCUAACCGAACGAUUCAUAUGCGCGAGAUCUCGUUGUUAAUCUCAGUUACAAGAUACGCUCGAAUAAAUUAAUCGAAUACAUACUCCGACGCUCCGCGGCUGUGGCUACCUUGAAAAUGGAAUGAUAAUGUCGUCUCACAAUGGCCGUUAUGUAAUAUUAGCGUCGAGAAAUAGGUAAUUCUAAAUAAUUUCUCAUCGAAUUACGUUCGCGCGCGCCAUACAUGUGUAUCCAUGUAACGUCUUAUUAUUAACGGGAAAUUUACGACACGUGGGUAAUCGACCGUAUUAAUUUCAAUAUUAAAUAUACGUACACGAAGAAAAAUUAAAUGGCAAACGGAUGAAUGGAAAAAAAAAAAAACCGGUUAUCCAUAAAAUAGAAAAUAAUCCUAUCAAACGGUACACAAUAAAACCCUACGACCGCACUCAUUUAUUUAUUCAUUAUUCAUUGCAGUUCUUUUUUUUAUUUAUUUAUUUUUUAUUUUUUACUUUUUAUCUCUUUUUUUUUUUUUUUUUUUUCCACCGGUAAACGGUUUUCCCAUUUUAUCUGCAAUAUAUAUAUAUAUAUGUAUAUUCAGAGGUGACGAAUCGCACGAAGUUGACGUAAUAUUUCCGACCGUACGUAUCUAUCUAUCGUGUACAUAAUCGCUCGGGAUAUUUACGGACAAAAGAUCGGCUCGUGAUACGAUUUUUAUACGCUUUAUACCGUACAUCGAGUCUUUGCCGCGACACCGACGGCCGUAAGAUCUGACUUUCGACCCUUCGACCUUGCAAAGGGCGGGUCGUCGCUAUCUCCCUCGAAAUGUCAGGAUUCAACCUUCGCCUAUUGUAUUGUAUUGUAUACCGUACAAUAGAGUCCGCGGUAUAUGAUGACGAUGAUGAUAACGGGUGAAAAGAUUUUUUGAUAUCUUUCGAUGAAAAACGCACUCGUCGCACUUCCGAUAUCGCGAACGUGAAACGGUUCAUUUUUACCCGCCGCGUGUUGUAUUCUUUUUUUUUUUUUUUUUUUUUUUCCAAAUUUUCAAGGCGCACCUCUGUGCAACUCCGACGGAUUUUUGCCGCCUUUUCGCAUCGUCUGAUAAAAAUGACGUGACGCACGUUUCAAUGCACGUAAUUUUUUUUUUUUCUUUUAUAUAUCUUCUCUCUCUCUCCAUUCAAUUUUUCAUUUACAUAAUAUAUGUAAUUUAAUGUCAGUCACAUUUACGUAUACCUGUGUAUACAUAUAUGAUGUAUAUUUUUAAUACUCGAUAAUCUGCACCUAUGCAGCGCCCUGUGUAUAUAAAAUAUUAUCGCGUUUACGAACCGUAUAAAUUUAUACCUGCAACUGUGCAAUUAUUAAUUAUCCGUAGUAUACAGUUCGUGGGUUUUCUUAACGUAUGUGAAUGUAAUUUAAUUACACACGUCAGAUAUAACUGUGAUUUAUAUGUAUGCAGACCCAUUAAUAUGCCCACGCGCAUUCUGCAUAUAGAGAAUAAUGUAACGCGUCCUUCUCGCCACUUAUUUUUUUACCCUUUUUCUUACUUUUUUUUUUUUGUUUUUUUUUUGGUUUUUUUGCUAAAGCACGUUUUUUAGGUUUCCCAUUAUCUCACCCGUUUAUUUAUUUAUCACCCUACCUUGGUUCUAUCCGCCCUUUUUUUUCUAUUUUAUUGUUACCGCAAAUCGGAUAGUUACCUACCUAAUUAUUCUGUUCGAAUUUUAAUCGCUAAACACUUAAUGGACUUAUAUUGUAUAUUAUAUUAUCUUGAGAGUAGGUAAUUGUUAUAUACGUAUAUUAUAUUGAGUUACAGUUACAAGUAAACGUAUAAGUGUAUAUUUAUUUAUAUUUAUGUAAUAAGCACGUGAAAUGUACGUACUGUAGAAAGACCUUAAUUUAUAUAGCUGAAUAUUUUCACGUACACGGAUAGCUUGAGAAGUGGAGAGACGUGAUAAUAACCUAAUCACUCCAAUGAGUGUGAAAAUGAGCGAAAAAUGAAAAUGAAACUUCGAUUCAAUUUGGAAAAAUGAUCCUUGUUGCUGAUAUCAAAUUAUAAACUAUAACUAGC
This is a long non-coding RNA of Athalia rosae (coleseed sawfly), 3021 nucleotides long. RefSeq lists it as uncharacterized. The record is from RefSeq and is a predicted model, not a curated record. NCBI's taxonomy places the organism in Eukaryota, Metazoa, Arthropoda, Insecta, Hymenoptera, Athaliidae. The transcript is spliced from 4 exons.